AAAAUUUAGUUAAUAGAUAACAUUAACUUGUCAAGUUAAAAUAAUUAAAAUUUAAUAAUUUUU
This 63-nucleotide transfer RNA is filed under the name Abscondita chinensis. Its description in RNAcentral is "tRNA-Asp". Lineage: Eukaryota; Metazoa; Arthropoda; Insecta; Coleoptera; Lampyridae. The record is from RNAcentral.